RNAcentral lists this ribosomal RNA (450 nucleotides) under uncultured bacterium. RNAcentral's name for it is "bacterial SSU rRNA". It matches the Rfam family "Bacterial small subunit ribosomal RNA", at positions 354 to 796 of the family's 1533-position model. The record is from RNAcentral.
GUGGGGAAUUUUGCGCAAUGCUCGAGAGAGUGACGCAGCGACGCCGCGUGAAUGACGAAGGCCUUCGGGUCGUAAAGUUCUUUCGACAGGGAAGAAUGUGCAUAUUAGUAACUGAGUAUGCAGUGACGGUACCUGUAUAAGCAGCCCCGGCUAACUCCGUGCCAGCAGCCGCGGUAAUACGGAGGGGGCGAGCGUUGUUCGGAGUGACUGGGCGUAAAGAGCACGUAGGCGGUGUUGUAAGUCAUUAGUCAAAGGCUAGAGCUCAACUUUAGUAAGGCUAGUGAUACUAUAAUACUAGAGUAUCAGAGAGGAUUGCAGAAUUCCUGGUGUAGCGGUGAAAUGCGUAGAUAUCAGGAGGAAUACCGGUAGCGAAGGCGGCAAUCUGGCUGGAAACUGACGCUGAGGUGCGAAAGCGUGGGUAGCAAACAGGAUUAGAAACCCUAGUAGUCC